This 73-nucleotide transfer RNA is filed under the name Treponema sp. RNAcentral's name for it is "tRNA-His". It matches the Rfam family "tRNA". From Rfam's summary of the family: Transfer RNA (tRNA) molecules are approximately 80 nucleotides in length. Their secondary structure includes four short double-helical elements and three loops (D, anti-codon, and T loops). Further hydrogen bonds mediate the characteristic L-shaped molecular structure. tRNAs have two regions of fundamental functional importance: the anti-codon, which is responsible for specific mRNA codon recognition, and the 3' end, to which the tRNAs corresponding amino acid is attached (by aminoacyl-tRNA synthetases). tRNAs cope with the degeneracy of the genetic code in two manners: having more than one tRNA (with a specific anti-codon) for a particular amino acid; and 'wobble' base-pairing, i.e. permitting non-standard base-pairing at the 3rd anti-codon position. RNAcentral also lists the same sequence under 1 other name. The record is from RNAcentral. Lineage: Bacteria; Pseudomonadati; Spirochaetota; Spirochaetia; Treponematales; Treponemataceae.
UGGACGUUGGCGGAGUGGUUAACGCGCUUGAUUGUGGAUCAAGAUUUCACCAGUUCGAAUCUGGUACGCCCAC